UACGUAGGGCGCAAGCGUUGUCCGGAAUUAUUGGGCGUAAAGAGCUCGUAGGCGGUUUGUCGCGUCUGCUGUGAAAACCUAAGGCUCAACCUUGGGCUUGCAGUGGGUACGGGCAGACUAGAGUGCGGUAGGGGUGACUGGAAUUCCUGGUGUAGCAGUGGAAUGCGCAGAUAUCAGGAGGAACACCGAUGGCGAAGGCAGGUCACUGGGCCGCAACUGACGCUGAGGAGCGAAAGCAUGGGGAGCGAACAGG
RNAcentral lists this ribosomal RNA (253 nucleotides) under uncultured bacterium. RNAcentral's name for it is "partial 16S ribosomal RNA". It matches the Rfam family "Bacterial small subunit ribosomal RNA", at positions 524 to 776 of the family's 1533-position model. The record is from RNAcentral.